AUACGGAGGGUGCAAGCGUUAAUCGGAAUUACUGGGCGUAAAGCGCGCGUAGGCGGUUUGGUCAGUCAGAUGUGAAAGCCCUGGGCUCAACCUGGGAACUGCAUUUGAUACUGCCAAACUAGAGUGUGGGAGAGGUAAGUGGAAUUCCGGGUGUAGCGGUGAAAUGCGUAGAUAUCCGGAGGAACAUCAGUGGCGAAGGCGGCUUACUGGACCAACACUGACGCUGAGGUGCGAAAGCGUGGGUAGCAAACAGGAUUAGAUACCCGGGUAGUCC
RNAcentral lists this ribosomal RNA (274 nucleotides) under uncultured bacterium. RNAcentral describes it as "partial 16S ribosomal RNA". It matches the Rfam family "Bacterial small subunit ribosomal RNA", at positions 523 to 796 of the family's 1533-position model. The record is from RNAcentral.